RNAcentral lists this ribosomal RNA (253 nucleotides) under uncultured bacterium. Its description in RNAcentral is "partial 16S ribosomal RNA". It matches the Rfam family "Bacterial small subunit ribosomal RNA", at positions 524 to 776 of the family's 1533-position model. The record is from RNAcentral.
UACGAAGGGGGCUAGCGUUGCUCGGAAUCACUGGGCGUAAAGGGUGCGUAGGCGGGUCUUUAAGUCAGGGGGGAAAUCCUGGAGCUCAACUCCAGAACUGCCUUUGAUACUGAGGAUCUUGAGUUCGGGAGAGGUGAGUGGAACUGCGAGUGUAGAGGUGAAAUUCGUAGAUAUCGGGAGGAACACCGGUGGCGAAGGCGGCGACCUGGGUCGAUACUGACGCUGAGGUGCGAAAGCGUGGGGAGCAAACAGG